Oreochromis aureus is the source of this 224-nucleotide long non-coding RNA. RefSeq lists it as uncharacterized. The record is from RefSeq and is a predicted model, not a curated record. The transcript has 3 exons. Lineage: Eukaryota; Metazoa; Chordata; Actinopteri; Cichliformes; Cichlidae.
CUAUACUGAUGUGGUGUAUGUGGUACUGCUGAGCUUGUAUGUGAUCUGAACCAUUGUAAAGGUUGCAGUUCAAGGGCCUGAGGUGGAAGCAGAAUUUGUGAGGAUUACUACUGCUCCACUUGUUCCAAGGCUUUUUGCACAACUUGACCAAUACACUGACCAGCUCAUAAAAGUCUUCAAGAAAAAAGGAGGCACUGCAGUGAGGAAAAUUAGACAAAUUUUGG